This 72-nucleotide transfer RNA is filed under the name Cavia porcellus (domestic guinea pig). It matches the Rfam family "tRNA". From Rfam's summary of the family: Transfer RNA (tRNA) molecules are approximately 80 nucleotides in length. Their secondary structure includes four short double-helical elements and three loops (D, anti-codon, and T loops). Further hydrogen bonds mediate the characteristic L-shaped molecular structure. tRNAs have two regions of fundamental functional importance: the anti-codon, which is responsible for specific mRNA codon recognition, and the 3' end, to which the tRNAs corresponding amino acid is attached (by aminoacyl-tRNA synthetases). tRNAs cope with the degeneracy of the genetic code in two manners: having more than one tRNA (with a specific anti-codon) for a particular amino acid; and 'wobble' base-pairing, i.e. permitting non-standard base-pairing at the 3rd anti-codon position. The record is from Rfam by way of RNAcentral. Lineage: Eukaryota; Metazoa; Chordata; Mammalia; Rodentia; Caviidae.
UGGGAUGUAGCUCAGUGGUAGAACUCUUGCCUGACAUGCAUGAGGUUCUGGAUUUGAGCCCCAGCACUGCAA